Molecule: long non-coding RNA, 244 nt
Filed under: Lathyrus oleraceus (garden pea)
Lineage: Eukaryota; Viridiplantae; Streptophyta; Magnoliopsida; Fabales; Fabaceae
Description: Pisum sativum (pea) long non-coding RNA (PSAT_LNC028426)
Source: RNAcentral
UGAAGAUGCUGAAUGUAAAAAGCAUUUCAAAAAUGGUGAAGAGUAGUGAAUCGUGAAGUCUUUCAGAUGAUGGUGAAGAUGAGAAUUUAUAGAGAUUAGGCUUGGAGUUGGUUAAGUGAGGUUUGAAGUUAGUUGGGAUGAACUCAGUGAGUUUAGGUAGUUAACUCACUGAGUCGGAAGUUAGUUAAUUGGUUAAUUUGGUGGAAAUGAUGGUUUAUGACUGGCUAAUGCAGGUGGAAAUUUG